AGCUAUAGUGCCCGCGAGUGACGCAUCAAUCGGCGGAUUUUUUUGAGAAUACUUAUAGUUGUGUAUUUGUUUUAUGUCUUAGCUGUGUAUUACCAUUGAAGUGAUAGUACGCUAACGUGACCACUUUUCACGCAUGAACCGACAGUUACACCUCGCACGACCAGUUCAGUCAGACAAGGCGUUAUUAUAGAAAAGGAUCACGAAAAUUAUUGUAUAGUGUACAGUGACACAUUUUUAUUAGUUUAGCGAAAUUAACUGAUCGUUUGCGUAACGAAAUUACAUUUGACUACGCCACAUAGUUGGACACGACGGAGUGCGCUGCGACUCGGAGAAGACAAAAAGCGGUUGGUGAGUGGCUAAGGCCCCAUAAUGUCAAGGAGUUACGAAGUUUUUUAGGCUUUGCUUCCUAUUACCGCCGUUUUAUUCGAGGAUUCGCCUCUAUUUUGGCUCCAUUAUUAGCACUUACGCACAAGAACGUCCGGUUUGCUUGGUCGUCCGCGUGCCAAUCUUCGUUUGACGAGUUAAAGUCGGUUUUGACAUACGCUCCAGUGUUGGCAUAUCCUUUACGUGAGGCAAGUUUCACCUUGAACACAGAUGCCAGUGACACUGGCGUUGGCGGGAGUACUUAAAGCGUGGGCGGCACGGAAAAAGUAGUUGCUUACUGUAGCUCUACGUUAAGCAAGACAGAACGUCACUAUUGCACCACGUUUCGUGAGUUGUUAGCUGUGGUAAAGUGUAUAAAGAAGUUUCGCCAUUAUUUGUGGGGAAGAGAAUUUACACUACGCACUGACCACGCUUCAUUAAAAUGGCUGCUGACUAUGAAAAACCCGGAGGGUAUGUUGGCCCGGAGGCCAGAGAAGCAGUGGUGGUUUCGGUAUUGCGAACGCAGUCUCGUCGAGCGAGCAAUACGCCUCUGGUUGGCUCGAACAAUGGUCUACGAGCUGCGUCGCUGGCAGAAGGAGGAUCCGUCGAUUUCUCUUAUACUGAGGAACAAAAGUUGCAGCCAACACGCGCCGGAUACUUCGCAAAUGGCGUUGCACGAUACAACUCGUUCUUAGGCAAUGGAAUCUACUAGAGGUUUUCACCAAAUAAACUAAUGUUGGGAAGAGAAACGAUGCUGCCGUUAGAGCUGAUGGUUGGGUCUCGAACGUUUCGGUGCCACACGGGGUUUGUCCAGGACAUGCAGUACACCUUGACAAACUCGUUCGAAGAUGCGCAUCGAUCGUUAAAGAAAUCCGCCGUUCGCCAAAAGCGCAACUACGACCGCAACAUGCAAGUGGUGAACCGUUUACAAUCGGGGAUUGGGUUUGGUAUUUUUACCCUCCGGCAGCUAGAAGAAAAUUGGGACAUGGGUGGAUUGGCCCUAUUUAGAGCGACCCCAGCUCAAUAGAACUAUUUGUGAUACAAGGCUCGGCUACCGUGUAUAAUGAAAUAUUAUAGUUGUGUAUUUGUUGUAUGUCUUAGCUCUGUAUUUCCUCUAUUCCCCUCCGGCAGCUAGAAGAAAAUUGGGAAAUGGGUGGAUUGGCCCUAUUUAGUGCGACAACAGCUCAAUAAUGAACUAUUUGUGAUACAAGCCUCGGCUACCGUGUGUAAUGAAAUAUUAUAGUUGUGUAUUUGUUGUAUGUCUUAGCUCUGUAUUUCCUCUAUUCAGAGCGCGAUUUAUGUUUUAUUCAUGUCUAUGUUAAGUUACAGAGCGUGAGUUAAUUGCUAUUACCGCAUUCCUUCGCUUUUACAUUAUUGGCACAUUCCUGCA
Non-coding RNA from Ciona intestinalis (vase tunicate), 1753 nucleotides. NCBI's taxonomy places the organism in Eukaryota, Metazoa, Chordata, Ascidiacea, Phlebobranchia, Cionidae. The record is from RefSeq and is a predicted model, not a curated record.